This is a non-coding RNA of Acipenser ruthenus (sterlet), 313 nucleotides long. RefSeq annotates it as small Cajal body-specific RNA 7. Lineage: Eukaryota; Metazoa; Chordata; Actinopteri; Acipenseriformes; Acipenseridae. The record is from RefSeq and is a predicted model, not a curated record. The transcript has a single exon.
UGGAUGAAGCAUUUAUAAAUUUUGUAUUUGAUUUUUGUGUUCAUGUGUAAAAUACUACUUGCUGUAAUAAACAUUAAGAAUAGUGUUCUGGUGGGAUGGGACAGGUGAAUGAGUGAGUGUAUGUGUGAUUCAGAUAGGCUGGGGGAAAAAGGGGGGCACUGAAGAUUGAGUAUCUCUGCUGAUUUUGGAGUGCAUCUGAGGCCAGUCGUGGAAUCUAGGUGCUUUCACUUUUUGGCUGAUGAUUGGAGCCUCGCAGCAGCUCCUGCAAUCUCUAACAACUGCAUUUUUGCAAUGUUCCUGCAAUCUGAUCCAA